This 505-nucleotide ribosomal RNA is filed under the name uncultured bacterium. Its description in RNAcentral is "partial 16S ribosomal RNA". It matches the Rfam family "Bacterial small subunit ribosomal RNA", at positions 28 to 507 of the family's 1533-position model. The record is from RNAcentral.
GACGAACGCUGGCGGCGUGCCUAAUACAUGCAAGUAGAACGCACAGUUUAUACCGUAGCUUGCUACACCAUAAACUGUGAGUUGCGAACGGGUGAGUAACGCGUAGGUAACCUGCCUGGUAGCGGGGGAUAACUAUUGGAAACGAUAGCUAAUACCGCAUAAUAUUGAUUAUUGCAUGAUAAUUGAUUGAAAGAUGCUAUUGCAUCACUACCAGAUGGACCUGCGUUGUAUUAGCUAGUAGGUGAGGUAACGGCUCACCUAGGCGACGAUACAUAGCCGACCUGAGAGGGUGAUCGGCCACACUGGGACUGAGACACGGCCCAGAUUCCUACGGGAGGCAGCAGUAGGGAAUCUUCGGCAAUGGACGAAAGUCUGACCGAGCAACGCCGCGUGAGUGAAGAAGGUUUUCGGAUCGUAAAGCUCUGUUGUAAGAGAAGAAAGGGUGUGAGAGUGGAAAGUUCACACUGUGACGGUAUCUUACCAGAAAGGGACGGCUAACUACGUG